UACGUAGGGGGCGAGCGUUAAUCGGAAUUACUGGGCGUAAAGCGUGCGCAGGCGGUCUGUUAAGACCGAUGUGAAAUCCCCGGGCUUAACCUGGGAACUGCAUUGGUGACUGGCAGGCUUUGAGUGUGGCAGAGGGAGGUAGAAUUCCACGUGUAGCAGUGAAAUGCGUAGAGAUGUGGAGGAAUACCGAUGGCGAAGGCAGCCUCCUGGGCCAACACUGACGCUCAUGCACGAAAGCGUGGGGAGCAAACAGG
This 254-nucleotide ribosomal RNA is filed under the name uncultured bacterium. RNAcentral's name for it is "partial 16S ribosomal RNA". It matches the Rfam family "Bacterial small subunit ribosomal RNA", at positions 524 to 776 of the family's 1533-position model. The record is from RNAcentral.